GUGGGGAAUUUUGGACAAUGGGCGCAAGCCUGAUCCAGCAAUGCCGCGUGUGUGAAGAAGGCCUUCGGGUUGUAAAGCACUUUUGUCCGGAAAGAAAUCUCCUGGGUUAAUACCUCGGGGGGAUGACGGUACCGGAAGAAUAAGCACCGGCUAACUACGUGCCAGCAGCCGCGGUAAUACGUAGGGUGCGAGCGUUAAUCGGAAUUACUGGGCGUAAAGCGUGCGCAGGCGGCUAUGCAAGACAGAUGUGAAAUCCCCGGGCUCAACCUGGGAACUGCAUUUGUGACUGCAUGGAUAGAGUGCGUCAGAGGGAGGUGGAAUUCCGCGUGUAGCAGUGAAAUGCGUAGAGAUGCGGAGGAACACCGAUGGCGAAGGCAGCCUCCUGGGAUGACACUGACGCUCAUGCACGAAAGCGUGGGGAGCAAACAGGAUUAGAAACCCCGGUAGUCC
This 450-nucleotide ribosomal RNA is filed under the name uncultured bacterium. RNAcentral describes it as "partial 16S ribosomal RNA". It matches the Rfam family "Bacterial small subunit ribosomal RNA", at positions 354 to 796 of the family's 1533-position model. The record is from RNAcentral.